UUCUUUAAGAUUUUAAAUUAAAGUAUAACCUGCUCAAUGAUUAAUUUAAAUAGCCGCAGUAUACUGUGCUAAGGUAGCAUAAUCAUUAGCUUCUUAAUUAGAAGAUAGUAUGAAGGGUUAAACGAAAUAUUAACUGUCUCUAAAAUUUUAAAUAAAAUUUAACUUAAGGUAAAAAUUCCUUUAUCAUAAAGAAGGACGACAAGACCCUGAUAAACUUACAAAAAUUUUGCUGGGGUGGCAAUUUAAAAAAACCUUAAUAUAUAAUAAAAUAUCUAAUAAUAUUAAUUUCAAGUUACUACAGGGAUAACAGCGCAAUUUUUUUUUAAAGAUCUAAUCUAAAAAGAAUAAUACGACCUCGAUGUUGAAUUAAUUUUCUAUUUUAAGCAUAAAUAUAAUAAGAAGGUCUGUUCGACCUUUAAAUAAUU
This 425-nucleotide ribosomal RNA is filed under the name Modisiminae gen. n. sp. Br16-196. RNAcentral's name for it is "partial 16S ribosomal RNA". Lineage: Eukaryota; Metazoa; Arthropoda; Arachnida; Araneae; Pholcidae. The record is from RNAcentral.